Papaver somniferum (opium poppy) is the source of this 2310-nucleotide long non-coding RNA. RefSeq lists it as uncharacterized. The record is from RefSeq and is a predicted model, not a curated record. The transcript has 6 exons. NCBI's taxonomy places the organism in Eukaryota, Viridiplantae, Streptophyta, Magnoliopsida, Ranunculales, Papaveraceae.
GAUGAUGAUGGUAUUUAUGUUAGGGUUCGGUAGAUCGAUGAUGCUAUUUCUGUUAGUUUUUUAUUUUUUUUAAAUUGAUUCAUGAUUUAUGUUAUUUUUGUUAUUUCUUUGUUUAAAUUGAUUAAUGAUGUUUGUUAUUUCUGUCAGGGUUUGGUUGAUAGUUAGGAUUUGAAAGUUUGGGUUUUGUGUUUGUUUUUUUGUGUGUGUAAAUCGAUUAAUGAUGUACUUUUUUGUGGAUUUUGGUGGAUUGAUACUUAGUGUUUCAUGUAUUUUGUAGAUUUUGGUAGAUUGUUUUUCUUUCGUUCCUUAAACUCCGUCUGCUGUUUUUUUGUUAGGGGACUGAACUCAGCUAGGGCUUAGAAGUAGGUAUGUGUGGUCUUAAGUCACCUCAUAUGUGUUGAAUUUUAUAAGAAAAUCUUUUGAAUUGAGGCAAACCACUUCAUCACAGAAAUUUCAUAUGUUGUCCUGCGACUUUCGGAUCGAUUUUAGGGCACUUUGGAUAGUGAACUGAUAUAAGGCUUCUUUUCAUGAAAAUUGGUUCUCUGAAAGGCAUAUCUUUUGUGAAUUUAACUCAGUAACUGCUGUUCAACGCUCCCGCCACUUCUGUUUCCAGUAAGUUUGAUUCAUAUACAACUUGACCUGGCCUAGAACAUCUACUGAUAAGUUAUAGAUGCUUUUGAACAACAGUUCAUCAUAGUAUGCUUUGUUCCUGAUACAGAUAUAUGUUUUGGUUAUGCCAGCUUGAGUGGCAUACUUUCCGCAAUCCUGGCAGUUUUACUUUUGAGAAGAUUUGACACUUACAACUUUUAUUAGCCUUAGUUUUUAUGUAGGGAUUAAGGUACAUUGAACAACCAAACUUUAGAGACUUUUGUUGCGUGAUUUAGAGUUGAAUUGAUUAAGGUUUGAUAAUUUUAGAGUCUAUUAUGAAAUGUGGAAUUCGCUUGUAACUGCGGUGAGUAUGCGUCUUUAUGGACUUUUAUAGGUAUGCUAGAGAAAGAUUUUGUUCAUGAUGUCUUAAUGAAAAUUGUAGAGGAGAUUGUUAUCUUUCUAUAGAGAUAUUGGUUGUUUAAUUUGAAUCAAAGAUGAAUGUUUUAUGCACCCCGAAACUUUGACCCUCGUGUUGUUUACAAGGAUGUUAGAAGUUGAAGAUAAAAUGGCGUUGACUCGGCCGAAGGAGAGAUUAGUGUUUGGGUUGAGCAAGGUGUUUGGAUUGUGUAUAGGGAAGUAGCUGCCGGUAUCUUUUUGUAGGCAGUCCUUUGUUUGUAGUUCUUUAAGGUGGAAGAUUCGAUCUGAGAUUUCGCAAGGAGUUAUGAAGCUUCUAUUGCUAAUCAAGUUAUCAUAGCAACAGUAGAGGUAGAUGAAAAUGGACUUCCGAUGUCGAGGAAUUCAACAAAACUUGGAAGCCUGAAGGGCUCGUUGGUUCGUACUCAUAUUCCUAUAUCCUACAAAAACUGGAAGAUGGUGCCUGAAAAUUACAAAGACGAUAUCUGGAAUGAACUACAAAUAUCGUAUCUAUUGCCUGAUGCUUGUAAAGCAACUGUGGUAAAGGGGAUGUCUGAUCCAUGGAGGUGACUUAAGUGGGAGUUACGAAUAACAUAUUAUGAUCCAUAUCCCACUUAUGAAGAAAGGACUGCACGUACUCCUCCAAAUGUAACUGAUGAAGACUGUAAAGCAUUAUGUCGCAACGAGGAGGAUGAAAAGGUUCAGAAAAUAGAUUGGAUAAUAAGAUGAAAAGGGAGAAGUAUGAUUACAGUCAUAAUUCCGGUCGCAAACCUCAUAGUUUGGUAAGAGCUGAAUUGGAGCUGGAGAAUCCUGGAGUAGAAAUCACUACCUAUGAUGUGUGGAUUAAAGCCCAUACAAAAGAGGGUGGGAAAAUACUACCCAGUGCGCAGAAAUACUAUGAUGAUCUGAAGAAGGCGCAACUAGAUAUUAAGGAAAAAUAAGAUUCGGGUUCUUCUGUAGAUGAAGCUGAUCAAUUGACCGUAGCUUUUGGGAAGGAUACAAGGGAACGGGUUCGCGCUGUUGGUGCAGUUUCUCGUACACAAUAUGACUAUUCAGCUCCUGCACGUGCGAAAGUUGCUGAAAUGAAAUCUAAGGAUGGAGAGCUCAAGCAUCAGGUGAAAGAUUUGGGUACCAAGAUAGGGUAUCUACUCGAAGGCUUUGGAACCUUAUGUAAUGCUGUCCAGGAUAUCCAAUCUGUACAAUCCUCAUUUAUUGCCUCGAACCACAUGGAUAGUUCACAAGUUCAUACAAGUUAACCUGAUCAUACUCCUGCAGCAAGUGAUGUUUUUUUAAAUGAUGUUGUAGUAA